UAUUUCAGAUUUUUUUUUUCAAUUGAUCUGUUUGUGUGAUUUUGGAAAUUUGGAAAUUGUUGGGUGAAUAUUGUUUGGAAAUUUGUGUGAUUUUUGGGUGAAUAUUGAAACUGUGUUUGGAAAGGAUGAUGAAAGAAGGAGGGAGGGAGGAAACGGUUGGUUGAAGCUAACUUGGCAGCUUGUGCUAUAUUUGACACAAGCUUUGGCAUUUGCCAAAGAUAGCAGCUGCUACAAGUUACCAUUGGAGGUACCUUUCUAUCAACUGCUGCCAUAAUUUGGCAAUAGCAGGUCGAGCCGCUCUUAGUCUAUAACCAUAUAUAAAAAGCGUGAAACCUUAAGCGUAAAUCCAACGCUGUAUAUGACUUGAGUACCCUCAAAACUCUCUCAAAUUACUGGUUCACCCUACCACCAUUGUUGGUUAUACAAAUCUGAAGCCAUAUGGGUCUUCAAUCUAUCAGCCACAUGGUCUCAUGAAAGACAGCUGGCAGUGUCGAUGCUAUGCUACGCAAACGACUUUACUCAAUUCAUAGCUCUGUAUCGACGAUUUGCUAUGGUUCUCUGUAUUUGUCUGUGUCGACGCUCGCUGUUCUCUGUAUUUGUUUACGUCGACGCUGUUCUUUGUAUUUGUUCUUUCACUGAUGAGAUCCUCCUGGCCACCGCUAUCCACUCUAUCCAACCCCCCCUCUCUCUCUCACACACACAAACCCUUGAUUGCUUUGGUUUAGGUUUUGUCAUUCUUCACUUAUUUGAGCAGUCAAAUUCAAGUUGAAAAACCUACAAUGGUCUUGCUGGGCAUACGAAACUUGUGCGUAGAAGCUAUUUGAGGGUUUGUCAAAGAGACUAAUAUUUCAUUGGCUCCAAGGUGUCUGGAUAUAAAAUUACAAAACCAAACACUUUCAAGUUGAGGCACCACCGACUUGCAAUGACCUCUAAUUUAUUCUACUUCUAGCUUUGUGUUGAACUGCAAAGGGAUGGGAACAAGGACGAAGGACUUGGGAAAGAGAAGCAAGGGAUCAAAGGAUAUGUCAGGGUUAAGAACAAAUAAGACAUUGCAGAGGGGGGAGUUGGCUGUUACCAAGUUGCUUGCGUGGUUCUCAUCACUUUUCAUGGAAAAGAUGGUGCUGGUUUAAAUGACAAGUAUGACAAUCCAUGAAUGCCUUGAAAAUCAUUUUGUCUAUCUAAUUAAUGAGAUCGGCUUUAUAGAACGAGUUAAACAUGAGAAAUUUACUCAAGAUUCACAAGAAGAAAAGAUUAUGAGGUUGGCUAUGCUAUUGAUUGAAGUUUUUGAGAGCACUGGUAAUAGUCUUGAGGAAUAUCUGCAGCUGCAACAACUUGAUGUGCGGAGAAAACAUGUGGAGAACGAUAAUGCUGAGGCAUGUGGAAUCUGGCUUUAACUUGAAGGCUGGAGACUUAGAUUUUAGCAGUAGAGACUGGUUUGGGAACCUAAUACUUAACGUUUGAUUGUCUUUUUUUGGAUUGUGUUUCUUCUCUUUAUGCACAUUAUUGAUCGUAUAACUUUUGUGGUUCAGUGUAAGUAUCUAAGCUAUUAUGUCAUUGAAUGGCUAGUUAACAUUUGGGGGUACCCUUAUUUUUUACAGGUUCAUUUCCUAUGAUUCCUCUACCAAGUACAUAGAGACUCAAUUAGAUAAGUUGUCUGAGUCAUGGAGUCCUGGCUUGCCCAUGCUGCAGCAAACAAAUGUGUUUUACCCCCCAAAGAGACUCCCAAGAGCUGAAGAACUUCCUGCGUAGCUAUUGAAGAGGUUUAAUCGAAGGUGCUGAUCGAUUCUCUCCUUCAAAGAUCACAUUCUGCAAACGAUGAACGAAGACAUAUCAUUUUUCAUUUUUUUUCCCCCCAGAUUUCUGUUCUGUCCAGAUUUCUGUUUCCUCUUUUUUCAAUUUUUUUUUCCAGAUUUUUGUACUCCUCCUUGGCAGCAAACGAUCCCCUCCGCUCCAAUGACGACUCCUCUUCUCGUCAGGUUCAUUUCCUAUGAUUCCCCUACCGAGUACAUAAAGACUCAAUUAGAUACGUUGUCUCAGUCAUGGUGUCCUUGCUUGUCCAUGCUGCAGCAAACAGAUGUGUUUUCCCCCCCAAAGGUGUACUUAUAAGAUGCUUGAAGAUGUCGUUGGUGAACAUUAUAAUGGUGGUUAUGAUUUUGUUAAACUGUUCUUCGAUUUCAAGCGACUUCACCUCAGAAAAACAGAGUUAGUUUUGCCUUACAAACUGUGAAUGAUUAUGACUUAUCCUUCUUUUGCUGGGGAACAAAUGCAAUAGGGGUUAUGUAUUCAUCAAUCCUGACUGAUCCUGCCCCUGUUAUCCCCUUCUAUCAGAGGCAUUUAAACGAAUGCAAUGGGUAGAGACUGUAGAAGAAAUGCAGCAAUUUCUAGUGCUAAGAUGCAGGGAAAAGCUGCAGUCAAGGCCCACCAGCAUGGUCAAACUUGAGGACUGAAGAUAUGCAUGUGAUAAGGUACUAAGGGUCUUGAAGACUGCAGCGCUCCUUGGAUUUUCUUGGAUUUUGGUGUUUGCUACAUUGCCCGUCAUUCCAUUCUGCAUUAUUUUUCUCUGUUGCAAACCUUUGUCAAUGGAAGCAUUUAGACUAGCUUGUUUUGCUAUUGGCGAUAUCCCUUGGGUGCCUCUGUGCGGUUCGGAGAGUUUUGUGUUUAUUUCCUGGUUGUAUGCCUUAUCUGCUGUUUCGUCUUGGUUGUGAAAGUUGCAUCCUAGUUGUGUGUACAUUCAAAGACCCUGACUUCUAUAAAAACGAGUGUCAAAAUUAGUCUUUAGUAGCAAUAUAUUUUCAAAAAUUUUCAACUUAUAUUUGUCAUCAGGGUGCAAUGUUAUUCUAUGAUUACUGUUAAGCUUGACUUGGGGUUUGUAGUCUUCUAUUGUCGCUUGGGUGUAAGUGUUGGACUGAGAAUCUUAUCAAUUCGCUGUGGUGAUAUGGAGUUGGUGUUGUGCUUUGGUGCUCGCUUACAUAUUUUAUUUCCAUUGGGAAUUGUUGACUUUUGGAAGCAUAGUUAUAUUUCCUUUUAACAUGGUUGAGUUGCAAUUUGCAUUAAAUUUUGGAGAUUGAUAUGUAUCCUAUGUUUGUUUAGUCAUGGGAUUAGAGGUCAUGAAAUGAUUAUUUGGUUUUAUUGUAUACAUACUUGUUUGUAAUUGGGAAUUGUUGACUUUUGGAAAUAAAGUUAUAUUUCCUUU
Camellia sinensis is the source of this 3193-nucleotide non-coding RNA. The record is from RefSeq and is a predicted model, not a curated record. NCBI's taxonomy places the organism in Eukaryota, Viridiplantae, Streptophyta, Magnoliopsida, Ericales, Theaceae.